This 23-nucleotide non-coding RNA is filed under the name Cricetulus griseus (Chinese hamster). The record is from RNAcentral. Lineage: Eukaryota; Metazoa; Chordata; Mammalia; Rodentia; Cricetidae.
UUAAACGGCUGGCUUCUUGUUUG